UAUGGCCUAGGCUAGCCUCAUACCUCCUUAAAAUUGGAACACUAUAGAGAAGAUUAUCAUGGCCCCUGCGCAAGAAUGACAUCCACAUUCAUGAAGCAUUCCAUAUUAAA
Molecule: small nuclear RNA, 110 nt
Filed under: Castor canadensis (American beaver)
Lineage: Eukaryota; Metazoa; Chordata; Mammalia; Rodentia; Castoridae
Source: RNAcentral